Molecule: ribosomal RNA, 253 nt
Filed under: uncultured bacterium
Lineage: Bacteria
Description: partial 16S ribosomal RNA
Rfam family: Bacterial small subunit ribosomal RNA
Source: RNAcentral
GCCGGGGGAUGCAAUCGUUAUCCGGAAUCACUGGGCGUAAAGCGUCUGUAGGUGGUGAUGCAAGUCACUGGUGCAAAACUCUGGCUCAACCGGAGGAAAGCCAGUGAAACUGCAUGACUAGAGUGUGGGAGAGGUAGAAGGAAUUCCCUGAGUAGCGGUGAAAUGCGUAGAUACAGGGAAGAACACCGGAGGCGAAAGCGUUCUACUGGAACACAACUGACUCUGAGAGACGAAAGCUAGGGGAGAGAAUGGG